This 493-nucleotide ribosomal RNA is filed under the name uncultured bacterium. RNAcentral describes it as "partial 16S ribosomal RNA". It matches the Rfam family "Bacterial small subunit ribosomal RNA", at positions 29 to 523 of the family's 1533-position model. The record is from RNAcentral.
AUUGAACGCUGGCGGCAUGCUUUACACAUGCAGGUCGAACGGUAACAGGUUAAGCUGACGAGCGGCGAACGGGUGAGUAAUGCAUCGGAACGUGCCCGAUCGUGGGGGAUAACGCAGCGAAAGCUGCGCUAAUACCGCAUACGAUCUGAGGAUGAAAGCGGGGGACCGUAAGGCCUCGCGCGAGCGGAGCGGCCGAUGUCAGAUUAGGUAGUUGGUGGGGUAAAGGCCCACCAAGCAGACGAUCUGUAGCUGGUAUGAGAGGACGACCAGCCACACUGGGACUGAGACACGGCCCAGACUCCUACGGGAGGCAGCAGUGGGGAAUUUUGGACAAUGGGCGAAAGCCUGAUCCAGCAAUGCCGCGUGCAGGAAGAAGGCCUUCGGGUUGUAAACUGCUUUUGUACGGAGCGAAAAGGUCCUUUCUAAUACAAGGGGCUCAUGACGGUACCGUAAGAAUAAGCACCGGCUAACUACGUGCCAGCCGCCGCCGUAA